This 1942-nucleotide ribosomal RNA is filed under the name human gut metagenome. RNAcentral's name for it is "bacterial LSU rRNA". It matches the Rfam family "Bacterial large subunit ribosomal RNA", at positions 1 to 1976 of the family's 2925-position model. The record is from RNAcentral.
UUAAGUGAAUAAGGGCGCACGGAGGAUGCCUUGGCACUAGGAGUCGAAGAAGGACGCGACAAACGGCGAAACGCCUCGGGGAGCUGUAAGUGAGCAUUGAUCCGGGGGUAUCCGAAUGGGGAAACCCGCUAGUGGUUAUACGCUAGCACCAUAUGGUGAAUACAUAGCCAUAUAGGAGACAGACCCAGGGAACUGAAACAUCUAAGUACCUGGAGGAAAAGAAAGAAAAAUCGAUUCCCGUAGUAGCGGCGAGCGAAGUGGGAAGAGCCCAAACCGGAUUUAUCCGGGGUUGUAGGACCUUCAUAAUUGACAAAUCAUGAUAGCCGAAUGGUCUGGGAAGGCCAACCGUAGGGGGUGAGAGUCCCGUAGGUGAAAUUGUGAGAUGCAUGGAAGGAAUCCUGAGUACGGCGGGACACGUGGAAUCCCGUCGGAAUCAACGAGGACCAUCUCGUAAGGCUAAAUACUACCUAGUGACCGAUAGUGAACCAGUACCGUGAGGGAAAGGUGAAAAGAACCCCGGAAGGGGAGUGAAAGAGAACCUGAAACCGUGUGCCUACAAAUAGUCAGAGCCCGUUAAUGGGUGAUGGCGUGCCUUUUGUAGAAUGAACCGGCGAGUUACGAUAUCGUGCGAGGUUAAGCAGAAGAUGCGGAGCCGUAGCGAAAGCGAGUCUGAAUAGGGCGAAGAGUACGAUGUUGUAGACCCGAAACCGUGUGAGCUAGCCAUGAGCAGGCUGAAGGUCAGGUAACACUGACUGGAGGGCCGAACCAGGGCACGUUGAAAAGUGCUUGGAUGACUUGUGGCUAGGGGUGAAAUUCCAAUCGAACACGGAUAUAGCUGGUUCUCUCCGAAAUAGCUUUAGGGCUAGCCUCGAUGUUAAGUCUACUGGAGGUAGAGCACUGAAUGGGUGAUGGCCCCACCUCGGGGUACUGAUCUCAAUCAAACUCCGAAUGCCAGAUAGAUAUAAUCGGGAGUCAGACUGUGGGUGAUAAGGUCCAUGGUCAAAAGGGAAAGAGCCCAGACCGCCAGCUAAGGCCCCCAAGUGUCCGUUAAGUGGAAAAGGAUGUGGAGAUGCACAGACAACUAGGAGGUUGGCUUAGAAGCAGCCAUCCUUUAAAGAGUGCGUAAUAGCUCACUAGUCGAGUGACUCUGCGCCGAAAAUGUACCGGGGCUAAACGGACCGCCGAAGCUGCGGAUUGACUUUAGAGUCAGUGGUAGGAGAGCGUUCUAACAGCGGUGAAGCAGUACCGGAAGGAGCUGUGGAGCGGUUAGAAGUGAGAAUGCCGGUGUGAGUAGCGAAAGAUAGGUGAGAAUCCUAUCCAUCGAAAGCCUAAGGUUUCCAGGGGAAGGCUCGUCCGCCCUGGGUAAGUCGGGACCUAAGGUGAGGCCGAAAGGCGUAGCCGAUGGACAACAGGUUGAUAUUCCUGUACCACUUAUUAAACUGAUGGAGUGACGGAGAAGGCUAAGUUGAGCGUGUGAUUGGAUUCACGUGUAAGCAGUGAGGUGGUCAUGUAGGCAAAUCCGCAUGGCAUAACAUUGAGCUGUGAUGCCGAAGCCGACUGGCGAAGUCAACUGACGUCACGCUUCCAAGAAAAGCUUCUAGGGUUAAUUUAAUAAGUGCCCGUACCGAUAACCGACACAGGUAGGCGAGGAGAGAAUCCUAAGAUGAGCGAGAGAACUCUUGUUAAGGAACUCGGCAAAAUGACCCCGUAACUUCGGGAGAAGGGGUGCUUGUGAAAGCAAGCCGCAGUGAAUAGGCCCAGGCGACUGUUUAUCAAAAACACAGGUCUCUGCUAAACCGCAAGGUGAUGUAUAGGGGCUGACGCCUGCCCGGUGCUGGAAGGUUAAGAGGAGAGGUUAGCGCAAGCGAAGCUUUGAAUUGAAGCCCCAGUAAACGGCGGCCGUAACUAUAACGGUCCUAAGGUAGCGAAAUUCCUUGUCGGG